RNAcentral lists this long non-coding RNA (785 nucleotides) under Olea europaea subsp. europaea. The record is from RNAcentral. Lineage: Eukaryota; Viridiplantae; Streptophyta; Magnoliopsida; Lamiales; Oleaceae.
UGAGUAUUACGUAAAGUCUUGAUCAAGCUUUCUGCUCUUCAACCUUUACAACCAUAUUGCUAGUUAUACUUUCGAUCGUGAUAGUUCACCUCAUCUGCAAGCCCCUCUAGAAUAGACUUAUUCAUAUGCCACUCUUUCCAUUUCUUUCUUGGCAUACUAUCGUUGGUUUUUGAUAUCUACAGGUUGCUACUAUUUCUGUAGAAUGAGCUAUUAACAAGCUCCAUUUCAUUCUCACCAAAUUCACUUAGGAAACUCGCCCUCAGAUUUCAAACUUUACACGUAAAGAUGCAUUCUCCACUAUACUGUCUUAAGGCUUUUAACCACUUCUUGUAUAGUUUUUGUCACUUUGAUUUAGUAUCACAUUUCAUCGGAUCAUUGCUGUGAUCUUCUACAUCCACUUCCAGCAAUUUCAUUUAUUUUGAAUUUACUUCCAUUUUUUGCUCAUUAAAAUUUGAAAUAAUGGAGGCCAAAUCAGAGCUUAGUAUGAGUUUCCAUUUAUAGUGGUGAAUGGUAGCUUGAAAAUUUUGCAAGGCUAGUGAGAAUUUGAAGAAAUCUAAGGAUUCGAAUAUUUGUAUUGAAUUAUUCUUGAUAUGCUUUGUAAAUGCUCAAUGGAUGAGUAGCGUUUAGAAGAACGUGAACAUGGGGACCUAUUAGUGAGUAAACAUUGUUAUGUUGAUUCUUUAAUUUUUUGAAAGUUUUGUUUAAGUUUCUUUGAGUUAAAACGUUGAUUUGGGAGAGCUAAAAACCCUAUUUUCUAUAUGGUUAUGGUUUUGAAAUCGAAACCU